This is a long non-coding RNA of Brassica napus (rape), 3510 nucleotides long. RefSeq lists it as uncharacterized. The transcript is spliced from 2 exons. Lineage: Eukaryota; Viridiplantae; Streptophyta; Magnoliopsida; Brassicales; Brassicaceae. The record is from RefSeq and is a predicted model, not a curated record.
AGAAGAAAAACGUUUUGGUGCUAAAUUUACACUAAAACGGUGUAGUUUUCACACCAAAAUAGUGUUAUGGGCUGAAGAUGUCCUUAGGAAGACAUAGGAUCUUGGAUUCAUCAUAUAUUUUAUAAUUUUAUCGAUGCUAGUUAGCUAAAAAGGAAAUAUUUCAUUUUAGCUUCUUUUCGUAAAUAUUGUUAGAACAUAAAUCCAGAUUAAAAAUUACGAAACAAAAUGUAUGUGGUGAUAACGAUAAUAUAAAGUGCUAAAAGCAUUUGAAACCUGAUAUGAAAAAGACGAAUAAGUGGAGUCGUGAUUUGAUUCCUUAACUCAAUAAAUCGUCCAUAGGUGAGAGGUUUUUGUACGAUUUCUGAGUCCUAAGAUAAAACCACAUGAGACUAAUUUGCAUCACUCAAAACAGAAUCUACAAACUUAACGAUCACACUAUACUUUUGAGACUUACAUUGAAAGACUUGAGGUAUAGCUGGAACUUUGUAUGUGGAAGCUAAUCUUUAAGAUUCUUAUAUAUGAGUUUGUGUGUGAGUGUGUUCUUAAUGGAGAUGUAAAAUGUCUAUUUAUAGGAGGGAUUCACAAAGCUUAGUCAUAAAACAACUUUGACAUGUUUCAUUAAGUUUGCUUAAGCUUUCGACAUUUGUUACUAAGUCACCAUAGUUCGAAACCAAGUGAACUUUACUAUUAGCCAUUUGUCACUAAGUUGCAUAGCUUGGUCACUAAGUUAGAUUGGUCAGAAAGUUUACUUAACUUAAGCCUCACCAAAAAGACUUAGUUUAGUCAUCAACUUAGUAAAAUAUUUUUUUCCAUCAUUUUACUCAACCCAUGAGCUUGCAAAAUGUGGUGGACUUCCUCCAUAUAAAGUACAACGUUUAUUUCACAUUAGAUUAGAUUUUUUUACUCAGCCUAAUAGGCUUGUAAAAUUUUAUUCACACAUACCUAAUUUUUACUGUCAAUAGGCUUGUAAAAAUAGUUUCAACAAUCCCUCAAGUGAAUAAAAAUAAUCUAAACAUAUGCAAGAGUCGAAAAACUUAUACAGACUCGACUGACUAGACUUAACUAAGACUAGACAGAAAAUUUUUUUCGAGAGUAUAAGAGAAAACAUAAUUGUAUGUGAUGUAGUAGCAUUUUCCAACCUUGAACUACUCACUGUUAGUAUCUGUCGGGUUUACUUUUCUGGUGGUGAACUUGAUGUCUUGAACCACCUGAAAAUUUAUGUAAACCGAGUCAACAAAUACAACACAACUGCCUUUUCUUUUGGAGUUAAGUUCUUAUGUUUUUGUUCAUUUUGGCCGUGAAGUUGUUUGGUGUUUCAUGAGUGAAGUUGGAGGGUACAGCCUGAUCACCUCCUAGAAAAGGCUCCAUUUCACACUCACUAGGUGAUUGCCAUGUGCACCUGUCAUAAAUACAAUAAAGUACCAUGUUAUAUUUUAUAUACAUAUAUAUGAAGGCCAUGAUCUUAUUUCAUUAGAAGCCAAUGCUUAACCUUAUACUUACAUGAGUAAUGUUAUCAUCUUUGGAUAUGGGCAGAUUUCAGUGCUUUUAUCGGAUAUUGUUUGAUUUAGUUGUCCCCUUCAACCAACUUCUUAGGAUCUCCAAUAUCGAUGGUGGAGUUUCCAUCAAACAUCCUUAGUCGUAGACAAUAAACCCUUUCCAGUUGAUGAUUUUAAAACUUGAUCUCUCAAUAAACCUUUAGUAAAUGGAUCUGCAAAGUUAUCAACUGAAUUUAUGUAGUCCAUGGAUAUUACACCGCUUGAGAUCAAGUGUCUAAUUGUCUUAUGACGUCAUCAUAUGUGGUGCGACUUGCCAUUAAAGAGUAUUCAGUGCCCGAGGUAUAGCUGACUGGCUAUCGAAAUGUAUACAGAGAGCCCUGUCCCGUGUUAAAACCCUCCGAUUAGCUCUCCAACAGACAUGUACGGCGGAGGUGGGUUUCUCUUCUAACCCUUGAAUUGUUUCUUUUUCCUUUCCCUGAUGAUAUUCUUGUUUUCGUUUGGUUGCCGCAGGUUUCGGCGUCAGCGGCAGCGUCAAUGAGGACAGUUGUUGUUCAUUUCGCAGACGCUGCCGCUGCCGCAUAUUAUAUCGCGACCGCAGGUUUUAUCGGCGUCAGCCGCUUGACGCGGCGUUCGGACGCGGCGUCAGACGCAGUUUCCUGCAUCAACGAAACGAACAAGAGUUGACGCAGAAUGUUGACGCUGCCCGCUGCCGCCGGUACCUGCGGCAACCAAACGAACAGCCCUAAAGUCUGAAUCUUUCCAUGGUGGGUUUGUUCCACAGAUGAAGUGUCAGCUAUAGUGUUUGACUUGGAUUCGUACACUUGAAAGGCUGGCUACGCCGGCGAAGAUGCACCUAAGGCCGUGUUUUCCCUUCCGUUGUUUGGGCAGUAGAUGGAGUAGUGGCAAUGGAUAUGGAUGUCGAUGUUGAUUCUUCAAAGACAAAUUCAAAUUCCAAGGAUUCAAAGUCUGAAAAGGAGAAGGGUAAACGGAAUCUCUAUGUGGGAUCUCAAGCCUUGAAUUACCGCAAGGAUCAUAUGGAUGUUAUUAUCUUUUUCUUCUUUUGAUUUAAUAUUAAAUGUGUAAAGUUGUUAAUUAAUUGCAAGUUAUUUUUUCCUAUUGCUAUUGAUGUGUUUGCUUUGUUGCAGAUCCUUGAAAUAGGAAAACGAAGAAUGAUAGUUGCAGAUCCUAAAGGUACGAAUCACUUCUCAUCACUUGCUUACACUCUAUUCACUGUGUUUUACGGUUAACAACUAGAGUUGAACAUAAAGGUCUGAACUUUGGAUGGAGAUACUCUCAAAAUGUGGUGAAUCUGGGAGAAAUCUCCAUUGCUGCCUAUUUGUUUCUCGCCAUAUCUCUCCUGUCUUACUAACUGAGAGCUUUAUGGGUUGUUGUUACUGUUUUCUCCAAUUAUUUAAUACAGGUUAUAUUUUAUCAGUAUUCACCUCUGGUUUCUCUUUAGAUUCAAGACUAGAACUAUCCUGGGAGUGGCAGAAGAAUGAGAGUCGCAGAUUCUCAAGGCACGAAUCACUUCUCUUCACUUGUUUAUACUCUUUUCGAUUUUUCUAUGCAUGUCUCAUAAAAGCAGAUUUGGUUUUAAACUACAUGUUCUGAUUUAUUUUUUGUUGUUGUUUUCUGUUAAAAAUUAUGACUUGAAGAUUCUCUACGAUGUGUAAUUAAUCUGACUUGAAACAUCUAUGUGUUGUGUAAUGAAUCUGACUUCAAGAUAGUGAAGUGAUUCUCUAGUAAGAAUUUUCUAGAGGUAAUGUUAACAUUUCAUUCUUUUCAUUAACUCAUAUUCGUGUACUGAUACUGUUCUUCAGUCCUCAAGGUAAUGCUGUGUGUUUGUUUCUUUCUGAUUCUGUCAGUGUUGGUACUAAGGGUCUGACUGGUUCAAACACAGCGGUUGCGGUUGCGGUUGGGGGAGUUUGCGAAUGCGGAUGGUUGCGGUUUUUAGUAUUAUUAAGCGUUUUGUAUGACUGGGACAACGUUUGAAAAUUGUUGCAUUUGCGGAUCA